RNAcentral lists this small nuclear RNA (104 nucleotides) under Chinchilla lanigera (long-tailed chinchilla). The record is from RNAcentral. Lineage: Eukaryota; Metazoa; Chordata; Mammalia; Rodentia; Chinchillidae.
GUUCUCACUUCAGCAGCAUGUGUAUUAAAAUUGGAACAAUACAGUGAUGAAUGUCCCCCUUGUACAAAGAUGACAAGCGAAUUCAUGAAAUGUUCCAUAUUUUU